GUGUCAGCCGCCGCGGUAAUACGGAGGGUGCAAGCGUUAUCCGGAUUCAUUGGGUUUAAAGGGUGCGCAGGCGGAUACUUAAGUCAGUGGUGAAAUCCCGGGGCUCAACCCCGGAACUGCCAUUGAUACUGAAUAUCUGGAAUACGGUUGAAGUGGGCGGAAUGUAGCAUGUAGCGGUGAAAUGCAUAGAGAUGCUACAGAACACCGAUCGCGGAGGCAGCUCACUAAGCCGAUAUUGACGCUCAGGCACGAAAGCGUGGGGAGCGAACAGGAUUAGAUACCCUGGUAGUCCACGCCGUAAACGAUGAUAACUCGUUGUUGGCGACACACAGUCAGCGACUAAGCGAAAGCGAUAAGUUAUCCACCUGGGGAGUACGAUCGCAAGGUUGAAACUCAAAUGAAUUGGCGG
This 409-nucleotide ribosomal RNA is filed under the name uncultured bacterium. RNAcentral's name for it is "bacterial SSU rRNA". It matches the Rfam family "Bacterial small subunit ribosomal RNA", at positions 505 to 916 of the family's 1533-position model. The record is from RNAcentral.